This 2995-nucleotide ribosomal RNA is filed under the name Chloroflexota bacterium. Its description in RNAcentral is "Chloroflexi bacterium 23S ribosomal RNA". It matches the Rfam family "Bacterial large subunit ribosomal RNA". The record is from RNAcentral. Lineage: Bacteria; Bacillati; Chloroflexota.
GGUCAAGUUAUUAAGAGUCUACGGUGGAUGCCUUGGGGCCAAGGGCCGAAGAAGGGCGCGGCAAGACUGCGAAAAGCCUCGGUGAGCCGUCUGGCGAGCUUAGCCGGGGAUACCCGAAUGGGGAAACCCAUCCUGGCUCAUACCAGGAAACCCUGCGAAAACGCAGGGAGGUAAGUGGGGGAACUGAAACAUCUAAGUACCCUGAGGAAAAUAAAUCAACAGAGAUUCCCCUAGUAGUGGCGAACGAACGGGGAAGAGCUCAAACCUAUCGGACUUAGUGGACUGGGGUCCUAUGUCCGGUGGGGGUUGUAACACAUGCUAGUUCAAGCCCCAGCGAGAACACGGAGUAAGAAACCCGAACCUUAGCUGAACGAAUCUGGAAAGGACGACCGAAGAGGGUGAUAGUCCCGUAAGCGAAAGGGUUUGGGCUCCUGGCAUGCUGUUGAGUACCACGGGACACGUGAAAUCCUGUGGGAAGCUGGGGGGACCACCCUCCAAAGCUAAAUACCCUUGGCCACCGAUAGUGAACCAGUACCGUGAGGGAAAGGUGAAAAGAACCCCGGGAGGGGAGUGAAAUAGACCUGAAACCGUAGACUUACAAGCCGUGGAAGGCUGGGCUUCGGCCCGGCUGACUGCGUGCCUAUUGAAGAAUGAGCCGGCGAGUUAAUUUAGGCAGCAAGGUUAAGGGAUAUAAGUUCCGGAGCCGAAGCGAAAGCGAGUCUGAACAGGGCGUGCAGUUGUCUGGAUUAGACCCGAAACCGGGUGAGCUACCCAUGGCCAGGCUGAAGCUCAGGUAGUACUGAGUGGAGGGCCGAACCCGUGUACGGUGCAAAGUGCUGGGAUGAGCUGUGGGUAGAGGUGAAAUGCCAAUCGAACCCGGAGAUAGCUGGUUCUCCCCGAAAUGUAUUUAGGUACAGCCUCAAGUUAGUUUUGUGGAGGUAGGGCACUGGAUGGGCUAGGGGGCGUGAGCUUACCAACCCCAACCAAACCACGAAUGCCAUAAAAUGAUGCUUGGGAGUGAGACAGUGGGGGAUAAGCUCCAUUGUCGAGAGGGAAACAGCCCAGACCGCAGGCUAAGGCCCCCAAGUGUGGACUAAGUGUGAAAGGAAGUGGGAAUCCCCAGACAGCUAGGAGGUUGGCUUAGAAGCAGCCAUCCUUUAAAGAGUGCGUAACAGCUCACUAGUCGAGGGCUCCUGCGCCGAAAAUGUAACGGGGCUAAAGUCCACCGCCGAAGCCGCGGAAUUCUGCUCUAUUUAUGAGCGGGGUUGGUAGGGGAGCGUUGUCAGGGCAUUGAAGCUGGUGCCGUAAGGCCUGGUGGAGCGCUGAGAAGUGAGAAUGCCGGCAUGAGUAGCGACAAUCCUGGUGCGAAUCCAGGACACCGAAAGCCCAAGGUUUCCUACGCAACGUUGAUCGGCGUAGGGUAAGUCGGUCCUAAGCUGUAGCGUACCGCGAAAGCGAUGGACAGCAGGUCAAAAUUCCUGCACCACUGUUAUACCGCUCUAAAGCAGAGGAGGGACGUGGGAAGGUAGGCAGGGCGCGCCCAUCGGACAUGGCGCGUUUGCCCUUGUAGGCGACGACGGGGAUAGGCAAAUCCGUUCCCAGAGCUGAGGGGGGUGAAAACUCCAGGGAUAAUACCCGGGGGAAUCUUGCUGAACCUAUGCCACCAAGAAAAUCUUCGCUGCCAGGGAUUACAGUGACCGUACCGCAAACCGACACAGGUGGGCAAGGGUAAAAGUCCUAAGGUGAACGGGAGAACCCUCGUUAAGGAACUCGACAAGUUAGCCCUGUAACUUCGGGAGAAAGGGUGCCCAUGGGGUGAUGUCACAUGCUGACUAAGCCCUUGUGGGCCGCAGUGAAGAGGCUCAGGCGACUGUUUACCAAAAACACAGGUCUCUGCUAAGCCGAAAGGCGAUGUAUAGGGGCUGACGCCUGCCCAGUGCCGGAAGGUUAAGAGGCGAGGUUCGACGCAAGUCAAAGCUUCAAAUCGAAGCCCCGGUGAACGGCGGCCGUAACUAUAACGGUCCUAAGGUAGCGAAAUCCCUUGUCGGGUAAGUUCCGACCCGCACGAAUGGCGUCACGACCUGAGCGUUGUCUCAACGAGGGACUCGGUGAAAUUGCAAGGCCAGUGAAGAUGCUGGCUACCCGCGACAGGACAAAAAGACCCCGUGGAGCUUUACUGUAGCUUGGCAGUGGACUGGGGUUAUGGAUGUGUAGGAUAGGCGGGAGACUGUGAAGCCCGGACGCCAGUUCGGGUGGAGUCGACCUUGAAAUACCGCUCUUCUAUAUCUUCGGCCCUAACUCCAUCAAAAAUGGAGGACCCUGCCAGGUGGGCAGUUUGACUGGGGCGGUCGCCUCCCAAAAAGUAACGGAGGCGUUCAAAGGUUCCCUCAGGGUGGAUGGAAAUCACCUAUAGAGUGCAUUGGCAUAAGGGAGCUUGACUGUGAGACCUACAAGUCGAGCAGAGACGAAAGUCGGACAAAGUGAUCCUACGGUUCCGAGUGGAAGGGCCGUGGCUUAACGGAUAAAAGCUACCCCGGGGAUAACAGGCUAAUCACGCCCAAGAGUUCACAUCGACGGCGUGGUUUGGCACCUCGAUGUCGGCUCGUCGCAUCCUGGGGCUGAAGAAGGUCCCAAGGGUUGGGCUGUUCGCCCAUUAAAGCGGCACGCGAGCUGGGUUCAGAACGUCGUGAGACAGUUCGGUCUCUAUCCGUCGUGGGCGUAGGAGAUUUGAGGAGAGCUUUCCCUAGUACGAGAGGACCGGGAAGGACAGACCUCUGGUGUACCGGUUGUUCCGCCAGGAGCAUCGCCGGGUAGCCAAGUCUGGAUGCGAUAAGCGCUGAAAGCAUCUAAGCGCGAAGCCAACUCCAAGAUUAGAUCUCCCUUCCCUUUAAGUAGGGAGUAAGGUUCCCGGUAGACUACCGGGUUGAUAGGCCGCAGGUGUAAGGUGGGUAACCAUUUCAGCUGAGCGGUACUAAUAAACCGAGGACUUGACCCA